This is a long non-coding RNA of Chelonia mydas (Green sea turtle), 7687 nucleotides long. RefSeq lists it as uncharacterized. The record is from RefSeq and is a predicted model, not a curated record. NCBI's taxonomy places the organism in Eukaryota, Metazoa, Chordata, Testudines, Cheloniidae. The transcript is spliced from 2 exons.
CUGAAGCAAAUACCAGCAACUACCCACCACAUAACAAAAACACCAACCCAGGAACCAAACCCUGCAACAAACCUCGGUGCCAACUCUGUCCACAUAUCUAUUCAAGGGAUAUUCAAAGCACUGGUCAUGGGACUGAGAUUAGGAGGAUGAACCUCCAGUUCUUCACAGUAUGAUGGUUUUUUUCAUAGCCUACUUAAAGAGAUGGAAUUUGAGAUAACUAAUUCUAACAUGCCAGAUGAGAUUGGAGAAGGGCAGAUGCUGCACUGAUCAGGGAUAUGACCUUCUCCAAGGCAUAAUAGAUACCUUAUGUGUCCAUCCAUAAUGAAUGUAAAUCUCCUGCAUGUGGGGUAGCGUUUGCCUCUGCCAUGAGGUGAAAGGAGGUCUUGACAUUGACCAAUAAGCUGGGAAAACUAAGGCUAAAAAAACGCCAACAGGACACUAAAGAUUACAGGAUACCAGGAGUUGGGAGGUACACAAACAUUCCACAGGACCACUGUAGAUGCUUACUGUAGGAUACAGUUGUGACAGAUGUGAGACCUUGGAAGUAUGGAAACUUCAAAAGUCUAUUUUGCUGAGAUGUGCCAGAUGCUGUGGGCCCAAGGAUUAUUCUUAAAUGUAUGUACCUAUAAAUGUUAUAUGUAUCUUUGUGAGCAAGGGAUUGUAUGCUAACUCCAUGGUGAGGGUUACUGAGCUUCCUCCAGGAACUAAAAACAGGGAAUAAUUACUGCAAUUCCUGGGACAGGCAAACCAUUCCAGAGAAGUACCACCUUGAAGGGGGAUGAGGGAGGGGAAAUGGAAGAGAUCCAGGAGACAAAGGGCUUUUGGUAUAAAGGGUCAGCGUGGACUGACUUAAAGAUCCUCAUUUUGAUUCAAAAAGUGACACGAGAUUGUAACCUAAAAGGCUAAACCCUGCUGGAAGGGUUUGAAAGACUGCGACCUGAUAGAUUCUCCAUGUAGAAGAUGGGUGACACCUGGUAAGCUUAGCGUGCAUGUAGACUAUCGUUUUAUUAUAUGUUUUCUCUGUAAUACUUUUGUCUUAAAUAAAUGUACUGUACUUUGUGAACAUUGGCUGCUCACUGGGAAACACUGUCAUAGUCCCUGAGAGAGAGCAGAGCCAUGGGGUGCUGGACUAAGGUCAGACCUGCUGGGAUAGUCACAGUGAACUACAAGUACUAUACUGUAUAUACUAACUAAAGUAUAAAUGGGUUAAUAAAAAGAUACGUUUGUGGAGGAUAGAUCCAUCAGUGGCUAUUAGCCAAAAUGGCCAGAGAUGCAACCCUAUGCUACGGGUGUCCUAAACUUCUGACUGCCAGAAACUGGGACUAGAUGACAGGGGCUGGAUCAUUUGAUAAUUGCCCUGUUCUGUUCAUUCCCUCUGAAGCAUCUGGCUCUGGCCGCUAUCAGGAGACAGGAUAUUGGGCUAGAUGAACAAUUGGUCUGACCCAGUAUGGAUGUUCUUAUGCUCUUAAUUGCAGGGGGACUGCAAGUCUAAAUCCCUUGUCUGGAGGGAAAGGGACACAAGUCCCCACCAACAAAGAGGUGAUAGCUAGAGGCCUGAGAUCUAAAAGGUGUGCCCUUGAGCAGACUAGGGAGGGUGCAGAGAUGGAGUUAACCCCAGAACUGUGGCAACAGCUUACACACUGCCCUAAAUACAGAGGAUAUUUCUUUUCAAAUUUGCUAGGUAGUGGUGUAUUGUCUUUAAUAAAUCAACUGAUUUUCUUACCUUUCUCAAAAACCCACCCCAUGUGACUGCUGUAAACAUUCCCCUUCUUGCCUGUGAAUAUUUAUGAAUUCUUAACACAUACAAUGCUCUCUUUUAUUAAAAAUGUUCUUCUGCUAAAAACUCAAGUUCACUUACCGCAGAAUCCUUUAAAACAAAACAAAAAUGUCUACAAAAGCAUUUUGGAAUGUUUUGUUUUUUGGGGAGAUGGGGGAGGGAAGAUGGCACUUUUCACAGUUACAUCUGUGUGCACAGGUGUAGACUGCGGUUAUGUAAAGGAAGUGGGUGACUUAAGGGCAAACUUAAAUGUAUUAUAACAACUUGAUCUGUACUUCUGAUUUCCUUAUGUUUCUUUUUUGAACAGUGUUCAAAGACUGCUAAACUAAAAUUUGGUUCUGCAUUAUGGUAUUUGGCAUGUAAAGUUGCUGGGGACACUGAGACAUUACAUGCUACAAUUUGAUGCAGGUGGGAACUGAAUUUGUGUGGUUACAACAUACAUAGCUUGAUGAGUUGUGCUCUGAAAUAAAGAGAACUGACACUUCAUAUUUCGUAACUCCCUCUGGCCUAUAUGUAUUGUACCAAGAGUUUUUCUGGACCAUCCCUCCUCACUCCCUCUCUUCUCUUCAAAGCAAGACAAGUCCACAACUAGUAAAAGUUAAGGUCAAUUAAAAGUUAGAUUAAUUGGUUCAUUUCUUAACAUAAGGGCGUUUGCUUACUCUGAAUAGCUGACACACAAUUGGUCUUUAGGAGUUAUGCACCCAGGACCCAGAAGAACCAACAAAGAACAUGAAGAUUUAGAAAUCCCUAGUUUUCUAUUUCCCUGAAAAAAAGCUCUGAGGCAGCCACUAGUCAGUUUUACACAUCCCAGUACUUUUUAGCAAGACAAUAGGGUUUAGCCAGGAUUAGAAAGAAGGGCACGACCAGAUGCACACAGGACUAAAUUCUCUUGAUUGGACAAACUGCACUCAGCACCAGGAUUAGAAGCAAGGGGUACAAAAGUGGUUUUAAACUGCUUUUACAUUCUCUUGGUCUGGAGCAGUUUUAACAUAAGCCCAACUGUGAGUGACCAUAAGGGGCCAUUUUGAUAGGCUGGGAUGUGGGGAUGCCCCACCAAAUCCACUUUCCUCUGGAAAUACUCCCAGUGUCAGGGGCCCCAAUCCACUUUUAGCCCAGUGGGUAGAGGAGUCACCUGGAACAUGGGAGAUCCAGGUUCAAUUCACGCCUCUGCCUGAGAGGAGACAAGAGAGUGAGAAUGGCCCUAAUGCCUGAUUGUUAGGGAAACCCAGGGUUCAGCCCUGGCUCCAGUGACUCUACUCUUUAAUUAUUUACACACAGCAGAAGACCUACAUCAGAAUAUCCCAUAGUCUAGUAGUUAGAGCACUCUCCUGGGAGGCAGGAAACCCCAUAUACAAAUCCUUUCUCCCACUCUGGCAGAGAGGGGGUAAGUUAACCUGGGUCUCCCACAUCCCAGGCAAGUUCUCUAACCACUGGCCUAAAGGUUAUACGGUAGGUAACACCACUACCACGUCCUCCUCAAGCCAGAUUUUGAAUGGGGCCCAAUCCAGUAGGCAGCAUCUAGCACACAUAUAGGAUCGGGCCCUGCAUGCAACUUAGGCAGCUUGAAUUCAUAUCUUUCGCGAAUCUCUCUGGGGCUUGGGUUGGAGAUAUGUAUCCAGAUCCGUAGAGGGAGGCAACAGUGCAUAUGCCCAGGGGCAGAAACUUAGAUACCUAGGAACUUUUCCUUUGAAAACAUAGGCACUGAGUGAGUUUAUUGCCUUACAACUUUCAGUGGGAGUUUUGUGGAUCACAAUGGAGCCAAAACUGGGACUUAAGCACUUAAACCUGAGACUUAGGUGCCUAAGUACCUUUGUGGGUCCGGCCCCAAGUUAGUUUAGGUGCCUACAAGGUUAGGUAGUAGUUGAGGGGGGAUUUUGUGAAUCACAGGGAAGCCUAAAACUGGGACUUGGGUAUCUAAAUCUGGGGUUUAGGUGCCUAAGUACAUUUGUGAAUCUGGGCCUGAGAGUCUCUGUGUCAAGCAGGGAUUCCCUUAGCACAAGGGAAAUCUUCAAAGGGCAGGAUCUAUGGUCUUUACAUCUUUUUUGCACUGCCAGAGCAGUCCAAAGUGACCUUAAUGCAGCCAAGACUUUGGUGCACACAGUCCAUACAGUGUGCAUGCCAUCAUAGAGUUCUAAAACUGAGAGACACAAAUUGCUCUUAGUCUAUGCAUGGACCUCCCACUGAUGUCGAUUAAAAGCAUUUCAAUGUCUGGAUCAAAGUGAUCAUGUCCUGAAGACUAAACCAUAGCCUAUUGUGACCUUUGUCCUCAUAAAGGCCAUAUUUACUUAUUUCUUGCAGUGUGUUAAUGUAGGAUAUUUGCACAGCUGAAAACAUACACACCUUGAACAAUUCCACAGAAGCUAAUACCAAGCUAGUUGAUUAAAAAUUUUAACUUAUAUAAAGUAAAGUAGGAUACUUCCUCUGACGCUGCACUUAAUUUGUACAUAUGGAAAAGAGCUAGUCUCUCUCUAUAUAUAUAUCAGUUAGAUCUAUUAAUUUGUGGAGUACUCUCUAUGGGAAUUAAUUUCUCCAUCACUAGAGAAAUUUAAUACUCUACAGGAUACUGAAAGGAACAAUCCAGGUUUGGGACAGUAGGGUAGACAAGACAUACUGCAUCUUUUCCAGCUAUAAAGUCUUUGAUUCUCAUUGGUGCCAAUGCAGGCAUUUGUAAGAAACUCAUUUUAUAGGUUUGUAAAAAUAAAACUGAUAAUACCUGAAUGACUUUUCACCCCUUGACUUGAGUGUCUAGUGUUAGAACUUUGUCACCAGUGUGGUGGUGUUUAUCACACUUUUGCUGAAGAAGUGGGAAAUGGCUGGAAGAUGGCAGAGUAAUAAUAGGAAAAAUGAACCUUGAUUUGUAUAAACACAAGUAUAAAACUUGCAUAGUCAAAGUAAAAAACAUUGAUCUUUGUGAUACCUCUGCUGAUUCAUUCUAUAAUGUUUAUAUAUUCAUACUAGAAAAUAACACUUUUGAAGCUGUCAUCUCAUCUUCUUCUACACAUACAAAUUUUCCUGUGUAACUGAAGACAAAGAAGAGCUCUGACAGUUGCUUCAAUAUUAAUGGGUUCUUUAAGUACUUAAGCAUCAUGCCUUCAAGCAUUCAUUAAGACUGAGGAUCCUAAUGACUAAUCAAAUUAAUAUAAUUUUAAAAUGGAGACUGUAAAAAAAAUUGUAGCUACACAUUUGUAAAAAAAAUUACGCAGAAUUAGGAUUAGAUUAUUUCUUUUACUACUGGCUUGUUUAUAAUCUAAGAAUAUAUUUGCGUAAUAUAAUCUAUAAUUUGCCAAAUUGCAACCCCCCACCAUGAAUGACUUAACUCUCCCCUGAGCCCUUCCUCACCCAUAUGCCAUUCUCUUUUUCCAUGUUAUUGAUGACUUUUUCAACAAGAGUGACAAGAUCAGACAUGACAAACCCCCUCUUACUUUUCCUUUCACCUACCUGUCCCCUCUCCUCCUUCCCCCUAUCACUGACAUUGAGGAAUUUAACGUGUUUUUCUCCUCUAACCAUUCCACCUUUCCCAGGGAUUCCAUCAUCUCAUCUCCUUCCCACCUUCCAUUCUCUUCUUAACUCUACUCUCAUCAGGUCAUUUCCGAUUACAAUAGGAUUGGGCGUAAUCAUAGUGUGCUUCUAACAAUCCUAAAGUUGAUCCACUGCCCUCUCCCAUUACUAUCUCUUCUUUUUCUUCCCCUUCACUUCUAAAUUCAAAGAAUGUGCCAUCUACAAACAUCUCAAGUUCCUCUCCAUCAACCCCAUCUUUGGUCUAUUCCUAUCUGGUUUCUGCUGUCUUCACUCCACUGAAACUACUUUCACUGAGAUCUCUUUUCUGACCAAAUCUCCGGCCUGUACUCCAUCUUCAGACUCAAACUCUCCAUUGCCUUUGACACCAAUGAUCAUUCUCUCACUCUGAAAUCUUGUUGUUCCUUGACAUUUGCAAAUCUGUCCGCUCUUAGUUCUUCUCUCUUUCUGAUCCCACCUUCAACAUCUCUUUCACAGGGUUCCUCCUUCCAGCUUUCACUUUUCAUGGAGAUUCCAUUGGGCUCUAUCCUUGGAUCCCUUCCCUUUCCCCUUGUGUCCUUUCUUGAGAUGAUCUAAUUUGUUUACAUGGCUUCGACUGUUAUCUCCACACUGAUGACUCACAAAGCUAACCCAACACUCCCAACCUCUCCCUCUCCAUCCAUUCUCAUAUCUUGGGCUGUCUUUCUGAUAGCUCAUCCCCUUGGCUCUUUCUCCAUUACUGAGGACACCACCAUUAUACACCCUUGUCAUUCAGGUUCAUAGGUUCCAUAGAUAAGACCAUCUUUGAUUCUGUCUUUUCUUUAGAUCCACACAUCAAGGUUGGGCCAAAUAUUGCAGUUUCUCUAUUCAUAACAUUUCUGAAACCAGCCUUUCCUCUAUGUCUAUACAGAUAAAACUCCCAUUUAGGCCUCAAUUCCCUCUCAUCUUGACUAUUGCAACAUCCUUCUUUUUGGCUUUCCUGACGCCCAUCUCACUCCCCUCAAGGCUAUUCAAAUGUUGCUGUUAAGACCAUCUUCUUGGGCCAUCUUUAUGACCAUCUGAGCCCUUCUUUGAGUCUUUUCACAGGAUCCCCCUUCACCACCACUUAAAAUAACGCUUCUGGUUCUCAUUUUUAAGCUCCUUCACAUUUGAGACCUCCCUACUUAUCUGUUCUUGUUUUGUCCCUUCCGCUCAGUCAACUAUGCCGCUCUGCAUUUCCCAUUUGUCUCUUUCUUCCAAAAGCACCUUUGCACUUUCUUUCAUGCUUUCUCUAAUGCACUCUUAUGAACUAGACUGUAAAACCAUUACCCUGAUCUCCUUCAUAUCCCUCCUCAAAACCCACUUCUAUCAUGAUAUCUAUAGGAAACUGAACUGAUAAUGGCUAGUAGGGAAUUCUGGUAAUUAACUUAUUCAUUUGUAUCUUUAUAAUUUUGUUUGAAAUUGACUUUUGCUGUGCACAUACCUGAUCUAUGUUAAAUGCAUGUUCUCCUACUGCUUCCCUCAUCCUCACUCCCUCUUUCCUUCUGAUGGUUACAUCAACUUGUUGUGUCUUACCUUAUUUAGAUUGUAACUCUUUGGAUCAAGGACUGUCUUUUAUUGUGUUUGUACUGUGCCUAGUACAAUGUCCUGAGACACAGAAGUACUGGCAAGAGACAGGUCUUUAUUGCCUGGCCCUAGUCACAUGACAUAGGUCAUGGUUACAAAAAUGUUUACCCCUGCGAUGGCAAAAGUCAGUAUCCAUUGACUGCAAUGGCUACAUAUAAUAAGUGUCAGCACUAAAUCUUUCUCUUUUUUAAAAUGUAGCAUAAUAAAAUUAGUAUACAAGGGAUAAAGUGCAAAGAUAUUAGAGAUAUUUGGGGGAAUUAAUAUUUGUAUAUGAUUUCAUAUUUCACUACAUGAAAAAUAAAGAAUGUAAAAAUACAAUGGGAUAAGCAAACUUAUACUUAUCAUGUAGUCCAGUCACAAUAAAACCUUUUAGUAAUUAGGAUUUCCCCCUGAUUUAUAGGAUAACUACCACUUAUGCUGGAAUACAGUUCAAUGCACAGAGUAAACUUUCCCUGAUGUCAAUGGAAGCCAUGUAUAUCAGGGGACAGUCAUCAGACAAGGGGAGGGAAAAGUACAUUUCAAUUAAAGAAGGUAAAGGAAUAUUUUGAACUUAGUUUCUUAAAAGUAUGAGAAUCCCAGGUCAUCUCAGUUUCAGUGCAUUCCACACUGGUAUGAAACCAGGAACCCAAGCUUAUUGAAUUAUAUAGUUGAUAAAGCACUUCAGAAGCAUUCAGUAUGAAAGGUGGUAUGAAAAUGUAAAUUGUUACAACCACUGUUGGUGUUGACUGCAAAUGUUGUGUAUUCCCCACCCAGAUUCUAAUUAAAGGAUUCUGUAUCACCACUAAUUAACAAUAAAGCUUUAUAAUUGUA